RNA transcript from Tachysurus fulvidraco (yellow catfish), 3242 nucleotides. RefSeq lists it as uncharacterized. The transcript has 3 exons. NCBI's taxonomy places the organism in Eukaryota, Metazoa, Chordata, Actinopteri, Siluriformes, Bagridae. The record is from RefSeq and is a predicted model, not a curated record.
CUCCCUGUCUCAGGCAGUGUGGAAUCCUGGCUGUGUUUAAUUGGCGAGUGGCAGGCGGGCUUGGGAGACAGAGCAGGAGUGUGCGAGAUCUAAGGAAGCAAUUGGGACUCACAUGGAGAGGCAACUGCUCUCACUAGCUUUACGAGCUGCGACUUUGACUUUCUGAGAGAAAAAGAAACGAGGAAAGGGAGGUAGAAACUCAACAGAGAGGCGGAGAACCCGUGAGCUAGAGUUUAGGAGGGGGUGAACUGACUCAUUGAAUUUUCUUUUAUACAGUGUACAGAGAAGGGUUAAGGAAAUGGAAAGAAAGGAAGGGAGAGAUAGAGAGAGGAAAUGACAGAAGGAGCAACAAAGUACAAACAGAAUGAAGGAUAGGUACAGGAAAGGCUGCAAUGGAGUGAGAGAAUAGGGGGGAGGUGGGAGAGAAAGAGGCCCCACUGCUGGAGAGAGGGCAACAGCACUGACUGCAUACGGGAAAUGACAGAAGUUGAGGAGAGAGAGGGAGAGAAGGAAAGAGAAAGAAAGAAAAGAGGGAAAACAAGGGGAAGUUUGAAAAGAAAGGAAGGGGGAGGUGAGUCUUGAAACGGAGAGAGAGAAAAAUGCUAGAUGAGAAGUUGAAAGAAACAGCAUGUGAGAAAGGGGAACAGAAUGAGAAGUAGAGAACAAAAUACAGUAGAGAAGUGAAAGAAAAAGAACUACGCAGAUGAGAAAAACAGUCUUAGUGAAUGGCCUGGGUGGGGAAAGAGAGAGGAGGUAACUGGUUGUUUAGUAAGUCGUCAGCCUGGGCGGCUUUUAGUCUCUUACUGCUAUGCACUCAGAGAAGGCAGCAAACGGACAACGUGCCCUCCAUCCACCCCAGGACUUCUGCCACCACUGCUUACACCAGGGACCACUGUUAGCACAUCACAGGCAGCAGCUCAGUGAUGUGCAUUGCCCACCGCUGGAGCCGAGUCAAAGGUCACACGUGUGGAAGGAAGACUUGUCUCUUCCCUUUCCUCUUGAUCUGGAAACACUUGAGGACCGGACAGGGAGCCAUAACCAUCAUGACCUGCAGAGACGGCAGGUCUACUUGGGGCCAAGCCAUUACACUGUUUCUGAAAGGUGCAGCCCACCAUGCUACUUGUGGAGGGAGGUGAUGGCUCCUAGAUGGGACCCUCGAUUUCCUCCGUCCACAUGUGUGUGGGAGAGGGCAGCACUGGCACAUCAUGGGCAGGAGGUCGCUGAUGGGAGACUGGCAGGCAGGCUUGGGAGACAUAGUGACUGUGGCUCUGAGAGGGAAUGUCACCAUCAUCAGCUACCACACCCCCUUAAUGGGGGCCCUAUGCUGGCAAAGGUCAGGAGCCAGCAGUACUACAGGGAAGCUCGGAAUGUUUCAGAGGAGCAUCACUUGGACUGUGUGAUUGAGAACUAUCACCAGAAUACACAUCUACCAGUGCUAGAAUGGGACAAUAGAGAAAAAUCUGGAUGCAAUGGGCACUGUGAAAGGAGGCAUGUUACGUUUGAGGGUCAUGAUGAUGGACACCACAUAGAGAAUAAUGGACCAGGCAGUCCUAUCAAGAACCACUGUAAUGGAGCUAAGGCAUUCUUUUCAACAGAAGUUCCCCAGAGUAAAUUUACAGUCUUGAAGAAAUCAGGACCUAAGCUGCCAGUGAGUGGAAUCCACUGUGGAGAGAGCAAACCGGGUCAAACAGACAGGUCAGAGGUUGGGGGCAGCUGGAGCAACCACAGGACAAACCAGGGAACAGUGCGUGAGCAGAUCAAACAAGUGGUGACAGAGUUAGAGGAUGUGCUCAGUGGUCUCAAACAGGUUCAAAUAGAGAUGAAAGAGGUGGUCCAACAGAUUGAUGUUCUGACUUCCAACAUAGACCUGGGAGAGGAGGAGCAAGGACCGUUCAAUGGUCUGCCACAGGAAUCCAUGCACCACUCCAAAAGUAUUGGAGUUGUGGCACUUGUCCAUAAUGUCAACAGAGAAGUAGAAUCUCCAGACAGAGACAGCGCUCAUACUGGUGUUGGACCACAGCACACUCGUUCUCUGUUAGACCAUAGCUUUACAGCUGUGUUUUCUGCUCACCUUGACAAUCAUCCUGCCAAGGAGACCCACACAAACCCAUCCUCCCGUGCUCAUGGUCUGAUGACUGUUGAGUCUGCAGACAAUAGCCAGAUGAAUCAUGCGUCUGCUCUGGAGCAUCCGAAGACAAAGUGCACUGCCAAUGGAGACUGCCUGCGAGCCAGACCUCCCAGAACUAAAGUAAAAGAGCUCCAGCAUCCCAGAAGCAGAACCGAUCAUACAAAAUAUCCUGACCCCCCUUACACUCCAGCACCGCUUACCUUGGCUAAAACUAAAAGACCCCCACCGUACCCACAAAACGGACUGGUCAAAGGACCUUCAAAGGGUUCAAAUGUCCUGAAGACACCUCCUUACCCUGGAAAACAGAAACAGCUAACCUCCACCAUGGUGUAAAGGUGGGGUGACAGGGGAAGUUCCACUGCCUCAGAGCUCUGAUUGCACUUAUGCGGACAACACACUCUCAUACAGUACACACAGACACACAAAGAACGUAAAUAGGAUGUUUUAUCCCUCAGCAUCAUGGUUAGGUAACACAGGGAUGCUACAAAGAAGAGACACGUCAGCAUUGCAAGGACUUCUUAUUGGAACUGAAAGUAUUUCCUAUGGAAAGCACUAGAAAUGGUCUGUUCUCUCUCUCUCUCUCUCUCUCUCUCUCUCUCUCUCUCUCUCUCUCUCUCUCUCUCUCUCUCUCUCUCUCUCUCUCUCUCUCUCUCUCUCUCUCUCUUUUUAUCCAUACUGGUCAUCCAAGCUCUGAUUCUUUGCCCCUUAAAGGAAUCUCUACAGAGAUAGAAGCUGCUGCUCAACUGGAAAGCAAGUCUAGACUCCCAAAUAUUAUGCAACAUAUCCAACAAAACUUGCCUGGGAUAUGAAAUCUGUGAGUGGACUGUUCAGAAGACCAAAGAGAAUAAAUAGAAGUCUUUUAUUAUUCUUUAAUUGUUUGUUCAAAUCUUUAAGAGCAAAACCCAACUGUGUAAAAGGAUUAUAUCCAACCUGUGUCUCUGCAUCAGUCUGUAAGCCGUUCACAUUAUACUGGGAUUAGUUCAUGAUUUAUUUAGUUUUGUAUUUAUGCUGUAUCAUUGAUAUAUGAUGUCCAGAAGAGGGCGCUAGAGCCCAUAAAAGUGUCCCUGAACUAUUAUGACACAUAAGAAAUAAAAAAGGAGAAGUUUGGAACAUA